GGGCUUGUAGCUCAGUUGGUUAGAGCACUUCUCUGAUAAGGAAGGGGUCAUUAGUUCAACUCUAAUCAAGCCCACUA
Molecule: transfer RNA, 77 nt
Filed under: Treponema pallidum subsp. pallidum (syphilis treponeme)
Lineage: Bacteria; Pseudomonadati; Spirochaetota; Spirochaetia; Treponematales; Treponemataceae
Also listed under: 6 other names
Description: tRNA-Ile
Rfam family: tRNA
About the family: Transfer RNA (tRNA) molecules are approximately 80 nucleotides in length. Their secondary structure includes four short double-helical elements and three loops (D, anti-codon, and T loops).
Source: RNAcentral